RNAcentral lists this ribosomal RNA (207 nucleotides) under uncultured bacterium. Its description in RNAcentral is "partial 16S ribosomal RNA". It matches the Rfam family "Bacterial small subunit ribosomal RNA", at positions 568 to 774 of the family's 1533-position model. The record is from RNAcentral.
CGCGCAGGCGGCUGGUCAAGUCCGAUGUGAAAUCUCCCGGCUUAACUGGGAAACUGCAUCGGAAACUGACCGGCUUGAAGGUGGGAGAGGGUAGUGGAAUUCCCGGUGUAGUGGUGAAAUGCGUAGAUAUCGGGAGGAACACCAGUGGCGAAGGCGACUACCUGGCCCAUUCUUGACGCUGAGGCGCGAAAGCUAGGGGAGCGAACG